RNAcentral lists this transfer RNA (64 nucleotides) under Chorosoma macilentum. Its description in RNAcentral is "tRNA-Pro". RNAcentral also lists the same sequence under 1 other name. Lineage: Eukaryota; Metazoa; Arthropoda; Insecta; Hemiptera; Rhopalidae. The record is from RNAcentral.
CAGUAAAUAGUUUAAUUAAAAUAUUAAUUUUGGAUAUUAAUGAUGAAUCUUUUUUCUUUACUGA